RNAcentral lists this ribosomal RNA (433 nucleotides) under uncultured bacterium. Its description in RNAcentral is "partial 16S ribosomal RNA". It matches the Rfam family "Bacterial small subunit ribosomal RNA", at positions 29 to 507 of the family's 1533-position model. The record is from RNAcentral.
AACGAACGCUGGCGGCAUGCCUAACACAUGCAAGUCGAACGAGACCUUCGGGUCUAGUGGCGCACGGGUGCGUAACGCGUGGGAACCUGCCUUUAGGUUCGGAAUAACUCCCCGAAAGGGGUGCUAAUACCGGAUAAUGUCUUCGGACCAAAGAUUUAUCGCCUUUGGAUGGGCCCGCGUUGGAUUAGCUAGUUGGUAGGGUAAAAGCCUACCAAGGCGACGAUCCAUAGCUGGUUUGAGAGGAUGAUCAGCCACACUGGGACUGAGACACGGCCCAGACUCCUACGGGAGGCAGCAGUGGGGAAUAUUGGACAAUGGGCGAAAGCCUGAUCCAGCAAUGCCGCGUGAGUGAUGAAGGCCUUAGGGUUGUAAAGCUCUUUUACCCGGGAUGAUAAUGACAGUACCGGGAGAAUAAGCUCCGGCUAACUCCGUG